CUCCCUUCAUCCCCGGCCGAGGAUGAGUGACGUCUUCUCCUGCCUCCCUCCUCUCCCAUCGGGGGCUGCGGACACAGAAGGUCAAGGUUUGUGACUGAAACAUCAACUGAAGAACUGAGAACGAGCAGACAAACCUGAUGGAUGCAGAGCGCGGCCGGUGUUCACGGGAGUCCAUCACCCAGCCGAUGUGGGCUUCCUGAGGAGGGUUCGAACUGUGGCUGGUUUUCUUCUUCCUCGGCGUCUGGAAAUCACAACAACAGAUUUAUGACAUUUCAUGUUACAAAGAGAUGCUUUAUAAGAGAGGACGCUCCGAGCUUUUAGCUAUAGGAUGAUAACUGGCAUAGUGGAUUAAAGUGCUACUGAUGGUUUGUUAUCUAAAAGACUGUUUUCCAGGCAAUUUAGUCUCUUACAAGCUCAGUGUUGACAUCUAAAAAAAUAAAAUGAGGCCUUUAAACCCUCACUGAGUGUGCAAAAAUA
This is a long non-coding RNA of Dicentrarchus labrax (European seabass), 477 nucleotides long. RefSeq lists it as uncharacterized. The record is from RefSeq and is a predicted model, not a curated record. Lineage: Eukaryota; Metazoa; Chordata; Actinopteri; Moronidae. The transcript has 2 exons.